Non-coding RNA from Pelobates cultripes (western spadefoot toad), 326 nucleotides. The record is from the annotation of a GenBank genome assembly. NCBI's taxonomy places the organism in Eukaryota, Metazoa, Chordata, Amphibia, Anura, Pelobatidae.
GAGGAACCAUAUUUUUGUUUACGAUAAACACAGCUAACUGAACAGAAUACAUUUAAAAAACAAAAGGAAAGGAAGUUUGGGAAAAGCUCAACUUCUGGUUGCUCUAUGUACACAAAGAUAUUCUCCAUGUUUUGUAAGUAAAAACUAAAAGACUAUUCUUUUGUGUUUUACACACAAGAAACAGUAUUGAACACCCAUGCUACGAUCCAGGAUGGAGAAAAGACAUCUCCACUCAAUGUUUUAUACAUUAUACACCAAGUGUAGAGAAUUUAUGGGAUUGGUGCUGAUUGAACAAACUAACCUUCAACUGCCUUAUGUCAUUAUGG